This 352-nucleotide ribosomal RNA is filed under the name uncultured bacterium. Its description in RNAcentral is "bacterial SSU rRNA". It matches the Rfam family "Bacterial small subunit ribosomal RNA", at positions 1 to 334 of the family's 1533-position model. The record is from RNAcentral.
CUAGCGACUUCAGAGUUUGAUCCUGGCUCAGGACGAACGCUGGCGGCGUGCCUAACACAUGCAAGUCGAACGGGGAUUUUGUUUCGGCAGAAUCCUAGUGGCGAACGGGUGAGUAACGCGUAGGCAACCUGCCCUCCGGCCGGGGACAACACUCCGAAAGGGGUGCUAAUACCGGAUACGAAGUCUGUGCCGCAUGGUACGGAUUUGAAAGAUGGCCUCUAUUUAUAAGCUAUCGCCGGGGGAUGGGCCUGCGUCCGAUUAGCUGGUUGGUGGGGUAACGGCCUACCAAGGCGACGAUCGGUAGCCGGUCUGAGAGGAUGAACGGCCACAUUGGGACUGAGACACGGCCCAG